This 82-nucleotide transfer RNA is filed under the name Solirubrobacterales bacterium. Its description in RNAcentral is "tRNA-Tyr". It matches the Rfam family "tRNA". Rfam says of the family: Transfer RNA (tRNA) molecules are approximately 80 nucleotides in length. Their secondary structure includes four short double-helical elements and three loops (D, anti-codon, and T loops). RNAcentral also lists the same sequence under 3 other names. The record is from RNAcentral. Lineage: Bacteria; Bacillati; Actinomycetota; Thermoleophilia; Solirubrobacterales.
GGGGGGAUGCCCGAGUGGUUAAAGGGGACGGGCUGUAAACCCGUUGGCUCUGCCUACGCAGGUUCGAAUCCUGCUCCCCCCA